This 1296-nucleotide long non-coding RNA is filed under the name Linum usitatissimum (flax). RNAcentral describes it as "long non-coding RNA (LUSI_LNC002258)". Lineage: Eukaryota; Viridiplantae; Streptophyta; Magnoliopsida; Malpighiales; Linaceae. The record is from RNAcentral.
AGAAACCUUUCUUGACAAUCUUAGGGGUGUUGAGAGUACGCCACACGACUUACACCUGUAGCUGAAUAGUGAUGGGGCUUUGACUUCCUAUGGAACUGUGACCCUCCACAGUCUAGCAAAUCAAGGUGACCAUUGCUCGAUUGUACUGAGUCGAUCGGGGGUCCUUCCGUCCUUUUUAAAUAUGGUUGCUGGUGACUCUUUUCGGGAUAUCAGCUUCCGUGGAAGUUUUCUCAUUAAAGUAAUUGGUAAGUUGACUUCGAGCUACUCAUGGCUGAGCAGAAUCCCAGUUUAGACUGCCAGUUCCGGUUAUGUGAUUGCAAAGUUCCAGCUCGCCAACGGGUGACGACUCUUGGUUUGAGAAUUCGACGUAUUUUCCUAGAGUGCCAAGAACGGGAGGUAUGCCCUUGUUCUUUUCCUCCUUCUUUUCUCGAUUUUAGACAUCUCUCAUUGAUAAAUCCUUGUUUCUCUUGUACCUUUAUAGCAUGGCGAAUGCUGUAACUACUGUGACUGGGUGGAGCUCCGGGAUGGAGUGAGGAUUGACGAGGGCUCUUAAAUCCGGUACGCUUGUCGAAGCGCAGAUAAUCAACGUUAUGGCUCGGAGUGUGAAGCUUGCUACGGUAGUCGACGAGCUUAACAAGAGGAUAGACAACAUUGUCUGAGCCGUGAGGUUUGUGACCCUUCACACAGCUUCAACAUCACGGCAUCCUCGAUCGUCCUGAGACUGGCCUGAUGCCCCCAAGAAUUCGCAUAUAUGCUCCGGCUAUGGAUUGUUUAUGGUUUAACUGGUCAUAUGAAUCAUAGUAACCUGCAUAAUCUCCAAGGAAGCAGCCAACCUCCUCCAAGAAGUAUCCCCAUGAAAGUUGAUGGAUUUGGAUCCAAAAGGGGACACGAUCCAGCUCUACCAGCUUUGGAUCCUCACCCUCCUUGAGUUUGUGCUAGAUCAGUAAGCGUCAGUUGUAGUGCCAAGAAAUGAGCCAACGAGACACGGUGGAUAUGCAUGUGGAGGAGGAGCGGGAACUAGUUCCGUUAGCGAUGAUUCCUCGUCGUUGCUUUCUCCAAGAUUCAAAUUUUGUACCUGGAGCAUGACGAGCGCACUUGAUUCAUCAUUCGAAAGCUCCUGCCUUGCAAUCGGUUGUGGUGUUGGAACUUUACUUGGCUUCGUCGUAGGAGCAACUCCGCGAGCCACCGUCGACAGAGACGAUUCAUUUAGCUCGAGGCCUGCGGCAGUCUCCGCCGAUUGGGAGGUUCCUGAUGCAGCCAACUCCUACUUUUAAAGAAAAUCAUACCAAAAGUUUU